UGGAAUUGGGCUGCCGACUGUAAGUCAUC
Molecule: non-coding RNA, 29 nt
Filed under: Mus musculus (house mouse)
Lineage: Eukaryota; Metazoa; Chordata; Mammalia; Rodentia; Muridae
Source: RNAcentral